UUUCCACCUGAAGUGCCUUUUUGAUUUUCUUCAAUUUUUUUCUUUACAAGAUCUUUCUUUUUAUAUUAUGUGAGCACUCCAUUCAAUUGAUUUAGUAUAUCAGAACUUGAUAAUUUAAUAGGCCUCUUUCUGUAUUCUCUUUGAUCAUUAAAAGAUAUUCUAUCUCUUCAAAAUCUAUAGGUAUUCGAUAAGAACCAUCGAUGCUCUCUAUAACAAAAUUUUCAACCAUGUGACAACCAUGUUGAUUCUGUUUGAUUAUAACAAGAAAGACAUGCAAGUUUACUUUUUGUACUCCAUCCA
RNAcentral lists this long non-coding RNA (300 nucleotides) under Elaeis guineensis (African oil palm). RNAcentral describes it as "long non-coding RNA (EGUI_LNC004185)". The record is from RNAcentral. Lineage: Eukaryota; Viridiplantae; Streptophyta; Magnoliopsida; Arecales; Arecaceae.